ACUUAGCUAACGUUUGCUAUUUACCCGCAACUGUUUCCAUUUUCCUUAAGUGGGAGAUAUCUUUGGUGUAGUUCGCCUUUCCAGUUGAACACUGGUAUAUAUAUAUAUAUACCGUAUAUAUACCGUAUUCUAUAUAUAUAUAUAUAUAUAUCGUAUUUUACCGACGUAGCGGUUAAUUGUUGUAUUACGAAAGUCGUAGUGUGAGGCGAUUUUGUGUAGACAGCUAGCAUAGCAACUGUUGUCUGGUCUCGCGAUGGUUUUACCGCCACUUCUGUGAGCGUUCUGAUUGGCCAGUUCCGUGGGCGACGCUCACUCUGUGGAAGUUGCUAUGCUUUGUAGUUUAGCCAGUUCCGUGGGCGGUGCCCACUCUGUGGACGUUGCUAUGCUUUGUAGUUUAGCCAGUUCCGUGGGCGGUUGCCCACUCUGUGGAAGUUGCUGUGCUUUGUAGUUUAGCCAGUUCCGUGGGCGGUUGCCCACUCUGUGGAAGUUGCUAUGCUUUGUAGUUUAGCCAGUUCCGUGGGCGGUGCCCACUCUGUGGACGUUGCUAUGCUUUGUAGUUUAGCCAGUUCCGUGGGCGGUUGCCCACUCUGUGGACGUUGCUGUGCUUUGUAGUUUAGCCAGUUCCGUGGGCGGUUGCCCACUCUGUGGACGUUGCUAUGCUUUGUAGUUUAGCCAGUUCCGUGGGCGGUUGCCCACUCUGUGGACGUUGCUGUGCUUUGUAGUUUAGCCAGUUCCGUGGGCGGUGCCCACUCUGUGGACGUUGCUAUGCUUUGUAGUUUAGCCAGUUCCGUGGGCGGUUGCCCACUCUGUGGACGUUGCUGUGCUUUGUAGUUUACCUCGUUUCAUGUGGGAUUAUGGUGACUGGAUGGGUUCAGUAAAGAACUACGUUUUUUCCGAGUUAGGCAACUUUUCAACCCGUUGUGUGCAAAACGUUCACUGUUUUGUCGUGUGUCCUGACAGAUCGAUGCCAUUGGCCGAGGCGCCCGCAGUGUCUCCCACAGGAUGAUCAGGAUGUCAUUGGACAAAGAGACUGUUCUACAGCGUGAUGGGCGGGGCGACGCUGCUGUCCCAGAAGGCCCUGCGUCAG
Molecule: long non-coding RNA, 1087 nt
Filed under: Salmo salar (Atlantic salmon)
Lineage: Eukaryota; Metazoa; Chordata; Actinopteri; Salmoniformes; Salmonidae
Description: lncRNA (ENSSSAG00000090556.1)
Source: RNAcentral